Molecule: ribosomal RNA, 389 nt
Filed under: uncultured fungus
Lineage: Eukaryota; Fungi
Description: eukaryotic LSU rRNA
Source: RNAcentral
AGAGUUAAAAAGUACGUGAAAUUGUUAAAAGGGAAACGCUUGAAAGCCAGUGACUUUUGAUAAUGGCCUGGGGAAUCAGUUGGUGGGGAGGGGGUUCCUUCUUCCUGCCGAUGCACUUACCCAGGUACAAGGCCAACAUCAGUUCGGACUGGGACACACACGUAGCGGGAAGGUGGCUUGUAGCUUCGGCUGCAAGUGUUAUAGCCCGUUGCGAAUGUUCCGGGCUGGACUGAGGUGUCGCAGGUUGUGCUUUCGGGCUAGUUCCCUGGUUAAUGGUAUAGCGGUUUUCUUCUACUUGCAAAAGUAAGUUGUUGAAAGCUACGCGGUGCCAUUAGUCCAGGUGUAUCAUAAACAACCUUCGGAUGUUGGCGAAAUGGUGUUAUCUGACC